UUUCUCGCCUUCCUCUCUGUCAUUUUUUCAUAAUAAUGAACUGGCAGCAGCCAGCGUCAUCUCACAAGACCCUCGGGUGCCGUGAAUGUCAAUCAAGCAAGCUACGGAAUUUGCCACCAAUGUUUUUCUUGUAAAGUGUAUGGAAGCUGGAUGAAUUAGAUGCCAAAAACCAACCACUUUCAUGUGGUAUUGUACAGAAAGGACAACUUUUUUUCUCCUCCAUUUGAAAAUGUGGGCGUUAUCAUCAUUACUGUCUGAUUCCAAUCAAUGCAAGUCAUCAGAAUCAGGUAAUACACCAACUUAUAUUCUUGUCUUUGUGAAAGAAAGACAUCUAUAUGUGUUACACAUGCUUGUAUUAUCAUUAAACACAUUUAACUUGUUUACAAAAAUGUCUCUUUCAUAAAUAAAUAAAUAUAAAUGAUAUAUAUAAAUGAGGUAGAUCCCCUCGAGUUGGUCAAUUGAAAAGUAGCUCGCCUGCAGAAAAAGUGUGGGCACCCCUGGUAUACAUUAUAUUGCCAAAAGUAUUUGGCCACCUGCCUUGACUCACAUAGAAAAUGGUAGUGCCAUCCCAUGGAAUUGUCCAGAAUGUUUUGGUAUCCUGGAGCAUUCAAAUUUCCUUUCACCGGAAUUAAGAGGCCAAGCCCAACUUUUGGAAAAACAACCCCACACCAUAAUUCCUCCUCCACCUAAUUUCACACUCGGAGAAUGUAGCGUUCUCCUGGCAACCUCCGAACCCAGACUGGUCCAUCAGAUUGCCAGAUGGAAAAGCGUGAUUCAUCACUCCAGAGAAGGCGAGCAGUGGUUCUCAAAUGGGGGUACACGUAGCCCUGGGGGUACUUGAAGGUAUGCCAAGGGGUACGUGAGAUUUUUCCAAAAUAUUCUAAAAAUAGCAACACUUCAAAAAUCCUUUAUAAAUAUACUUAUUGAAUAAUACUUCAACAAAAUAUGAAUGUAAGUUUAUAAACUGUGUAAAGAAAUGCAACAAUGCAAUAUUCAGUGUUGGCAACUAGAUUUUUUGUGUACAUGUUCCAUAAAUAUUGAUGUUAAAGGUUUCUUUUUUUGUGAAGAAAUGUUUAGAAUGAAGUUGAUGAAUCCAGAUGGAUCUCUAUUACAAUCCCCAAAGAGGGCACUUUAAGUUGAUGAUUACUUCUAUGUGUAGAAAUCUUUAUUUAUAAUUGAAUCACUCGUUUUUAGUAAUUUUGAUAUCUUUUUUUCCAAAUAGUUCAAGAAAGACCACUACAAAUGAGCAAUAUUUUGCACUUUUAUACAAUUUAAUAAAUCAGAAACUGAUGAUAUAGUGCGUUAUUUUAAUUCUUAAUCUCAUUUUUUCAAUCAAAAAUGCUUUGCUUUGAUUAGGGGGUACUUGAAUUAAAAACAUGUUCACAGGGGGUACAUCACUGAAAAAAGGUUGAGAACCACUGCCCUAAUGCAUGUUCCUUGACUGCACUUGAAUGUAGAAUAUAUUUACAUUAUAUUCUAUGUACAGUAGAUGGCAGCAUUGUCCUGUUUAAGAGGGUCACAACAUUGAGUCAGGUCUGCAUGGAGCUGGAGGGGCGUGGCCUCCAGCUUGGCCUGAAUUUCGGGAGAAAAUUUGUCCCGGGAGGUUUUCGGGAGAGGCGCUGAAUUUCGGGAGUCUCCCGGAAAAUCCGGGAGGGUUGGCAAGAAAGUGUUGGUGGAGGCGUACACACUGUUAAUCAGUGGGAAUACGGGAAGAUCGAACGUGGCUCCGGCCAGGGAGGACACUCUGAGAGCUUCCUGGAUUUCACUGGACAUAUAAAGCCUCCCGGAAGACGUUCCACCCUGUGAAGAAAAUGGCCAGGAUGAGAGUAAUCGUACCUGCAGAACAGCUUCUCCAGGGACAGAAGGGGGUACAGGGCGGACGAGCGUCUCCACAGCCACAGGAGCUCAUCGUUAAGGGUCUUCUCAGCAGGGGGGCACUGGCCGGUGUAGUUGGCUGAAGCAGUUUGGGCGGGUUCCCCGUUGUAGCAGCUCGGAGCCAAACGGAGAUCAUCAGAUAACGGGAUCAGUUUGGAUUACACUGCAAGGUGCCGGCAGCGGAGAGAGACAGACUUUUCUCUAAAUAACCACGCUGGUAUUCCUUACCUGGGACCACUUUUCCACCUCCUCGGGAGUCCAGUUAGGGAAGAACGCCUUCAGGAGGUUCCGGGAAGCUGCCUGAUAAACGGCCUUCUUCUCCCUGUUUCUCAGCCACUGGGGUAGCCACUCGGACCACCUCAGCACCCCCAGGCCGAGGUACCUGGGGGCGGGCAACGCCGCGUCGAGGAAAUACGGGUAGUUUCCCAGCGUGUCCUCGUAGAAGACCACCACCCGGCCUUCACGUUCCAUUCCAAAAGAUCCAGGGUCUGGCCUGGCGGAGCAGGAGGAAUCGGGGAUGGCCCAGAAAAUGAUAAAAGGCUGUCCGGACAGCAGUGGAGGGCGUGCUGGUCGGGGCGGUCCAGCUGUGCUCAGGCCAGCGAGCAGUAAGACCAGGAGGCUCAGUGGAACGGUGGAGCACGACGGGACCGAUGGCUUAGUCCUGCCUUUCUUGUUCCACGCCAUCGAAGCUGGUAACACUCAGCCUGUCACUCCUUCAGCCGCCAAUCAUGUUUCUGAAAAAGAGGAUUCCGCAAAUCCGAAAUUGGCGUCAUGAUCAAGAAAAUGCACCAAACAUGCGGUGUCAUUUAAAUGUCAUUUACAAACCCCGUUUCCAUAUGAGUUGGGAAAUUGUGUUAGAUGUAAAUAUAAACAGAAUACAAUGAUUUGCAAAUCCUUUUCAAGCCAUAUUCAGUUGAAUGCACUACAAAGACAACAUAUUUGAUGUUCAAACUCAUAAACUUUAUUAUUUUUUUGCAAAUAUUAAUUAACUUAGAAUUUCAUGGCUGCAACACGUGCCAAAGUAGUUGGGAAAGGGCAUGUUCACCACUGUGUUACAUCACCUUUUCUUUUAACAACACUCAAUAAACGUUUGGGAACUGAGGAAACUAAUUGUUGAAGCUUUGAAAGUGGAAUUCUUUCCCAUUCUUGUUUUAUGUAGAGCUUCAGUCGUUCAACAGUCCGGGGUCUCCGCUGUCGUAUUUUACGCUUCAUAAUGCGCCACACAUUUUCGAUGGGAGACAGGUCUGGACUGCAGG
Nerophis ophidion (straightnose pipefish) is the source of this 3131-nucleotide long non-coding RNA. RefSeq lists it as uncharacterized. The record is from RefSeq and is a predicted model, not a curated record. The transcript is spliced from 6 exons. Lineage: Eukaryota; Metazoa; Chordata; Actinopteri; Syngnathiformes; Syngnathidae.